This 301-nucleotide ribosomal RNA is filed under the name uncultured bacterium. RNAcentral describes it as "partial 16S ribosomal RNA". It matches the Rfam family "Bacterial small subunit ribosomal RNA", at positions 509 to 807 of the family's 1533-position model. The record is from RNAcentral.
CAGCAGCCACGGUAAUACGAAGGGGGCUAGCGUUGCUCGGAAUUACUGGGCGUAAAGGGAGCGUAGGCGGACAGUUUAGUCAGAGGUGAAAGCCCAGGGCUCAACCUUGGAAUUGCCUUUGAUACUGACUGUCUUGAGUAUGGGAGAGGUGAGCGGAACUCCGAGUGUAGAGAUGAAAUUCGUAGAUAUUCGGAAGAACACCAGUGGCGAAGGCGACUCUCCGGUCUGUAACUGACGCUGAGGCGCGAAAGCGUGGGGAGCAAACAGGAUUAGAGACCCCUGUAGUCCCUGUCUCUUAUAC